RNAcentral lists this ribosomal RNA (93 nucleotides) under uncultured bacterium. RNAcentral's name for it is "partial 16S ribosomal RNA". The record is from RNAcentral.
CCCGUCACAUCACGAAAAGUGGGCUGUACUAGAAGUGGCUGAGCUAACUCGCAAGAGGGGCAGGUUACGACGGUAUGGUUCAUGAUUGGGGUG